AUUGAACGCUGGCGGCAGGCUUAACACAUGCAAGUCGAGCGGGGGAAGGUAGCUUGCUACCGGACCUAGCGGCGGACGGGUGAGUAAUGCUUAGGAAUCUGCCUAUUAGUGGGGGACAACAUCUCGAAAGGGAUGCUAAUACCGCAUACGUCCUACGGGAGAAAGCAGGGGAUCUUCGGACCUUGCGCUAAUAGAUGAGCCUAAGUCGGAUUAGCUAGUUGGUGGGGUAAAGGCCUACCAAGGCGACGAUCUGUAGCGGGUCUGAGAGGAUGAUCCGCCACACUGGGCCUGAGACACGGCCCAGACUCCUACGGGAGGCAGCAGUGGGGAGUAUUGGACAAUGGGGGGAACCCUGGUCCAGCCAUGCCGCGUGUGUGAAGAAGGCCUUAUGGUUGUAAAGCACUUUAAGCGAGGAGGAGGCUACUUUAGUUAAUACCUAGAGAUAGUGGACGUUACUCGCAGAAUAAGCACCGGCUAACUCUGUGCCAGCAGCCGCAGUAA
RNAcentral lists this ribosomal RNA (501 nucleotides) under uncultured bacterium. RNAcentral describes it as "partial 16S ribosomal RNA". It matches the Rfam family "Bacterial small subunit ribosomal RNA", at positions 30 to 523 of the family's 1533-position model. The record is from RNAcentral.